Triticum aestivum (bread wheat) is the source of this 1000-nucleotide long non-coding RNA. RefSeq lists it as uncharacterized. The transcript is spliced from 3 exons. Lineage: Eukaryota; Viridiplantae; Streptophyta; Magnoliopsida; Poales; Poaceae. The record is from RefSeq and is a predicted model, not a curated record.
UGGGCAGAUUGAAAAGAAUGACCAUGGGACUCCUCUCCUUCUUUCUCUAGCACGGGACUCCUCUGCUUAUGAUUCAUGUACAAAUCAGCUUCUGCCUCCAGGGAUGGCUGCGGGGACGGGAUCGAUUAUCCGCAGGCAGCCGUUCUCACUUCCCAAACCCUCCCCCCGUUCUCAUAUCGUGCGGAAAAGAAAAUCAUCCCUCGCUUCCAUGCUUUAACUGCCUCAGCGGGGGCCCCAAUGCGAGAGCUAGACGGCCUCCACUACGAGCACGCUGUCAUGGCCCUCAAGUCCUCCGUCUAUCCUUGCAAUCAUGGCUGGUUCCUUCUUGACCGGCUGUACAAAGUCUGGUGCCAAUUUGUUGGGCUAGAAGCAUACGAAUUACUGGAAGUUAGAAUUGGAAAGGUCCCUUUAUGCAUUUGCAUAUAUUACCAAACAGGAGGUUAUGGAUGAUGAGCAGUUGAGGACCGGUGACAAUCUGUUAGUAUUUGAGAACGAUGAUCCAUGGAUUAUUUUGUUCGUAAAUCUGUUCCACGUACUAAUGAAAUAUUAUUUUUUUGAAUUGCUGGAAGCUUUAUGAAUGUAUACGUUUUAUAUUUUGAGUAGUGAAAAUACUGUACUUAUAUAGAAAAUAUAUUUUUUAGUUUUCUCUGUAAUAUGCAUGCAUAUUCUGGGAUGUUUUCCAGGUGGCCCAUGGUUUCUGAUGGAUUUUUCUUGAAAUUGUACACCGAGGGUGCUUUGAUUAACCUGGUAUUCGUUUGAGUGCAACAGUAGUGGCAUAAUAGCCAGGGAUUGCAUGUACGUGUGCAGUUUUGUGAUCGUCCCAGUAUGCAAGUAAAAUGCACUUCAAUACAGCAAUGCAGUUUUGUGCCUCAAGUCAUCGGUCUAUCCCUGCAAUCAACGCUGGUGCGUCCCUUCUCCUAUCUUCACAAAGUUCAUGGAGAAUCUAAAUUAAUUAGGAUCAUCUCAUUAACAUAUUUGGGUAAUCUCACCAGGUUCUUUC